CAUUUCAGGCUCAGCAUCGUAUGAGAUUCUAAAUCGCUGACCUGGUCCGCGGCUCAAUCUACGAAAAUCUGAAUGAUGCCCCGAACGUUCACGACUACGAACAUAUUACAGGAAUGACCAAGGAUCUGUUCUUUUUAACCCACAACAAGCACGAGAAAUCUGAGGGUGACACACUGAGCAAAUCGAAUGAUUUUGAAGCCCAUUACAUUGCUGGUCUGGCUGGAUACUUAUUAAAACAGGGCUACAAAGCGUCGUCUAUAACCGUAUUGACAACGUACACUGGACAAAUGUUUUUGUUGAAGUCACAGUUCAACAUGUCUCAGAGUCUUAAGCCGAUUCACAUUACGUGCGUCGAUAAUUUUCAAGGCAUGUUUUAACAUCGAAGAAUUCUUAUGAUGAAAAAUCGCAACAGAAAGUAAUCGACUACACCAAUGAUCUGGAAAAGAUUUUACAAACUGGAUUGGGAAUAUCCGACGUUGAACGUAUGGAUAUCAUAAAGGCUUUGAAUAUGAAACAAGGUCAUUGGUUCAAGUGUCCAAAUGGUCACUUGUAUCUCAUUGGGGAAUGUGGCGGAGGAAUGGAAACAGCGAAAUGUAACGAGUGUGGUCAGUUAAUUAAUGAUUGGUGGCGCGAAUC
Long non-coding RNA from Bradysia coprophila, 636 nucleotides. The record is from RefSeq and is a predicted model, not a curated record. Lineage: Eukaryota; Metazoa; Arthropoda; Insecta; Diptera; Sciaridae.